GGAUAUGCAAAUUAAAAAAAAUCACUGAAAUGGUUGAAAUAGAAAGAACAGAAUACCAACAGAUGGUGAAGAUAUGGAGCAAUGGAGAUUCUCAGACACUGCUGAUGUGAUUGUUAAUUUGUAUAACCGCUUUGGUAAGCUAUUUGAGAGUAUCUACAAAUAUCUAUAUCUAUAUCUAUAUCUAUAUCUAUAUCUAUAUCUAUAUCUAUACCUAUAUCCCCAAAAAGAUGAAUACAAGAUGUUCUUAGCAGCACAUUUGCUGUGGCCCCUAAAAACCAUCUUUCUUUUUAAGAUGCCCUACAGGUGAUUUUGAGGACCAGUCAGGAUUGAGAACCAUGACAAUGUCAGAUGCACUUCCAAUAGAACUUAAAUUUAAAAUUUAUUUUUGUGUAGUGAUUUAAUUUCUUUUUGUGUACUGAUUUCCUAAUAUGAUAGGGAAAUCAUAAGCCAUUCCCUUUCUCCUUUUAAAGAAAUAAGGUUAAAUGAUGAAAAUGGCUAAAACUUAUUUAUAAAAUACUUAUUUUUUUAAUUUGUUGAAAUACUAAAUAUUUUAAAGAAUUUUUUUCUUACGUGGUAGAAUCUUAAGAGGUCUUUGGCACUGAUGGUAGGAUCUAAUUUGGAAAGAGAUCAAAGUCAAGAAAAAGUAAUGAUAAUCCCUUAGUAAUAAGUUUGUACUGUAAUAUAAUAUAACUUGGUCCUCAGCUGAAUCCUGAAAUUAAAAAAAAAAAAAAAAGGAGACUGGAAACUAUUUCUCUUCCCAGGGAAGCCACCUAUUCCUCAAGCGACAUCACCAGGGCAACCAUCUUUUAAGUCAGUCUCUCACUACAGAGGCCCCAAAUGGGAGCCAGGUUCUCUUCUGGAUGUUAAUUGUCCCAACCCUCCUGAUAGCCCUGGAGGUGUUUUUCCUCCCUGCUAUUUGACAGGUGAAGGAGUUGUGGUAUUAACAUUUAAUGGAGAAGGGGGUUGUGAUUAGGGGGGAAGAGUCUCAUAAUGCUGUUUAGGGAGGUGAUAAAAUUUAAGAAACACUGCUGUAGCUACAUAUUAGAGAGAGGAGGGUACUAUAAUUAGGUUUUAGCCUGUCACUGAAAAUCCAUUUUCCAGUGGGACAUGACAGGGCUGAAUUUUGCAUAAUUUUACCUGGAAGAAAGCCUUACUGUACCUUGGGAAGAAAUACAGCGUUUCCCAUUCAAAUAAUCUGGGCCUGCUUAUAGUGAGCACCAUCAUUAUGUCAUUCUUUUGUCCACAAGUCUGUCCUGAAGAUCCUGUUGGGCAUUCCUGAGCUAGCUAGCUGCAGAGUUAUUAGUGGGUCUAGGAGGUUAGGAAACUGGAGGACUGGUAGAGGGUGAAAAAUAUGAUUGCAAGUGCUUAUGAGCAAGGCAGUUUAGCACUGAUUUACCCUGCUAGGGUCUGGUUAUGCAAAGUGUGGUCCUCAAACGGCAGCAUUAGCACCACCUGGGAGCUUGUUAGAACUGCGGCAUCUCUGGCCUCAUCUCUGGCCCCACUUCAGCCCUACGGAGUCAGGAAGUGAAGUUCACAAGACUCCCAGGUGAUUUGUAUGCACAUUAGAUUUUUGAGAAGCACAACUUUAGGCUAGUGGUUCUCAGCACUGGCAACAAUUAGAAUCACCUGGAGAGACUGACAACUUUAAGACCCUCAGGCCCGACUCAGGACUAUAUAGAUUAGGAGCCUGCUCAGGUAGGCUCUUGUGGGUGGGUGGGUGUUUUAUGCUGAGUGACCUGAUUUAUGGUCUGAAUAGAUCACUCUGCUGCUCUGAGGGGUAGUCUGUGAAUGUGUGUGUGGAAGUGGGACCGGACCAGGAAUGGAAGCAGGGAGACCUUCCAUAUAUGCUCUGUCAAGCCGGGAAAAAACCGGAUCAGUGUUUUUUUUUUGUUUGUUUGUUUGUUUUUUUUACUUAUACCUCUAGGCUUCCCUUCAAGGUAGGAAAAAGAUCCCAAUUUCACUUACCAUAUUAUGGCCCACAUCCUCACCUGGACUCUGUGCUGCACAGGAGCAUUGCAAGUAAUCUACAUUUUAAGAAGGUCACUUGGCGGCAGCAUAUCAAGAGUGGAUUCCCCAGGAACAAGGGAGGAAGUAAAGAAGCUGCUAAAGUAGCUUUCCAGGAGAGACAUGAUGGUGGCUUCAUCUAGGGCGGGUAACAGAAGAGACCAGAAGAGUUGUAUUUUGACUGAUUUUUGGACCACAGUUGCUGAUGGAAUUGGAUUUGGUAAGUCAAAAGAGGAUUCCUUGGCAUUUUUAAUUUAAACCAGGCUUUAAAAAACCUGUUAAUAUGGUUAAUUAUAUCCUUUAAAAUUUUUUUUUAAUGUUUAUUUAUUUUUGAGAGAGAGAAAGAGACAGAGCACCAAGAGACACAGAAUCUGAAGCAGGCUCCAGGCUCUGAGCUGUCAGAACCCAACACAGGGCUCAAACUCACAAACCACAAGAUCAUGACCUGAGCCAAAGUUGGAUGCUUAACCAACUGAGCCACCCACACACCCCUAUCCUUUCUAUUUUUAAUCCAGAUUUCCCUCUCUCACACACACACAAUUAUAUAAUGCUUUGGAUAAUUAAACUUUCAGAGCCCUAGGAGUAUCUGAACACUGUUCUCACAUCACUCUUCGAUCUGUGUUGUGACUCUCAGAUUUACUAUAUGUGCCAAAUCCAAGCUUAGUGUUCAGUGUUGGCCCACUUUGUGCUUGUUGAAACAGGCAUUGCAGUUCUCUUGGAAAAAGCAGGGUUUCUCAGCCUUAGCACUCUUGAUACUUUGGGCUCCAUAAUUACUUCUCUGUUGUGGGGACUAUCCUAUACAUUGCAGGAUGUUUCGUAGCAUCCCGGGCCUCUACUCAUUCAAUUCCUGUAGCACCUUCCCAAUUGUGACCACCCAAAAUGUCUCCAGAUGUUAAGAGCUAUGAUCCAGAGGGUUAGAUUGUCCCAGGUCAAAAACAGCUCAACCAGAGCUGGGAGGAGGACUUGCAGUGUAAGUUUUUGGUUAGUUAGUAGGAUUGUUCCUCAAGGGGACUCUGUCUUCCUUUCAUUCAAGGUGCUUUGGGUCUUUGAUUUACAUCUGGCAGUUGGCUGAGGGGCCACAAUUCUUUAUUGCUAAGUAAGGUAUGACUUCUUUUCACCACACUGCUUCUACAAAUAAACAAGACACUAGUAGGGGGAUAUUUAUUUCUGUUCUAGGAACAUCAUGAUCAACUAUUGGAUGUCCUAUGGGUCAGACUUUGGUGAUGACUUUCGGUUUUGCUGUCUGUUAUGGUAACAUCUUCCUCAUCUUUUGUUAUUAAAAAAACAAACAAACCCCUGCCACCCCAGGAUCUCAUCAUUCCCAUUGAAAUCAGGGACCCCAGUUUGAUGGCAGCAUUACUUCCUUUCAUUUCUAACAUUUAGACAACAGCCACCACAGAGUUCUUGAUUGAUGCUAGGCUUCUUUCCUUAACGUGUUUCUUAAAGCCGUAGUGAAAGGUGUAUCUUCUGGGCUAUUCUGAGGAACAUAGAGGGUAUUACAUAAUAAAUCUCCUUAAGCAUAUCAUUUUCCCUAAUCCUUAGGAUCCUUUCAUCAGCAUACCAAGACGGUUAUGAAACUUCAAAUCCAUUUAGGACAGAGUGUCUCUAACUCCAGGUUUUAGUAACCAACCAACCAAACUUUCCAAGACAUUCACAGCCCCUAGAGCCAACACAUUUAUUCCAGAAACUCAGCCUAGUGCACCAAAAACAACUGAUUUCAGGAGGUUCAACAUUAUAUUUCUUCUCUGAUCCAGUACAACUUAGGAUCCAUUCUCAUGCACAAUACUGAGGUUCUGUCAAUAUUAAUUGACAAAAUCUUGCGUGUGUGUGUGUGUGUGUGCAUUGAACUUCUUAUGAGUUACACUUUAUAGCUUCCCUCCUGGGACCUUCUGGGACUUGAACAGGUAUAGAGGAAAUGAGAGGCAUGAGGGUAGUUCUUGAGGAAGAACAGUGGUUUCCUGCAAGGUAAUUCCUUUAGGAGAAGAUGUUAUAGCUUCUUCCUACUAGGGAAGACCAAUCUCUUCAAAGGUGGAAGGGCUGAUUCUGUAGGCAAAGGAGGAUCAGUAGAAUUUAGGGGUUCAAGGUCCUCAGCUUUAUUGGAUUCUGCUCAUAUGUUCCUAUCCUCAAUUUUAAGUCCUAUUCCUACUCAGUCUAUGUUCUGACCUUAACAUGAGAAACCCUGCAAAGUUCAGAAUUCAAUUUGUGUUGUAAUUCAGCUCCCCACAGAAUUGAAUUUCAUGUUUGCUUUUCAGAAAUCUUGACUCUAGAACAGGAUAUCUCUAUCUUUGAGGACAAUGAUAUACCCUUAAGCUCAUCAAUUUCUUUCCUCGUGUUCUUCAGUGCACUUAGUAGCAGCCACUCAAUCCCAAACUACUUUUUUAUUCUUGCUGAAAUCUUUGGUAACAAUUAGUUCACUCAAAUCCUUCCCUUUUAUUGACACUUGAUUACAGGUGUCUACAGGUGAUACUUCAAGUACUCUUUUGCAUGUCAUAAACUACCAGUGUCUCCUCUACUAUUGCCUCUCUAAUUAUAUCAGAAAAUCAAUUCCAGAUAGCCCCAAACUAAUUUAGAGUGCCAUCCUUAAGGUUCUGUUCCCCUGGAACCAUAACUGAUACAGCAUCAAUUCUGUAUCAGUCAGAGUUCAAUAAGAGUGAUAUGAAAUGCAUGAUCUUGCUGGAUUUAGAUCUUCCACAAUUGGGGGAGGUGAUGAAGAAGUCUAUAGAAAGCUGCAUCUGGUAUGCCUAGUGGUAGGCCUGAGGUCCAUGCAGUCAGUAGGUCCAGGAAUUGGGAAGAAAAGCUGAGUGUGAAUCAGGGGAGAGUGGUGAUGAACUGGAACCACUUGUGCCUCCAGCUUGAUCAUGUACAGGACCUCCCUCCCCUCCCCCACCUCCUCCAGCACCUGACCCAGGACUUGGAGAAGCUGAA
This 4929-nucleotide long non-coding RNA is filed under the name Lynx pardinus (Iberian lynx). The record is from RNAcentral. Lineage: Eukaryota; Metazoa; Chordata; Mammalia; Carnivora; Felidae.